AAAGUAUCAAGAUCAAAUAAACUUUUAUAGUAUUUCAUUUACACUGAAAAUAAUCUUUUA
Molecule: transfer RNA, 60 nt
Filed under: Pardosa laura
Lineage: Eukaryota; Metazoa; Arthropoda; Arachnida; Araneae; Lycosidae
Description: tRNA-Val
Source: RNAcentral